CCUACGGGAGGCUGCAGUGAGGAAUAUUGGUCACUGGACGAGAGUCUGAACCAGCCAAGUAGCGUGAAGGAUGACUGCCCUAUGGGUUGUAAACUUCUUUUAUAAAGGAAUAAAACGAGGCACGUGUGCCUUUUUGCAUGUACUUUAUGAAUAAGGAUCGGCUAACUCCGUGCCAGCAGCCGCGGUAAUACGGAGGAUACGAGCGUUAUCCGGAUUUAUUUGGUUUAAAGGGAGCGUAGAUGGGUUGUUAAGUCAGUUGUGAAAGUUUGCGGCUCAACCGUAAAAUUGCAAUUGAUACUGGCAGUCUUGAGUACAGUUGAGGUAGGCGGAAUUCGGGGUGUAGCGGUGAAAUGCUUAGAUAUCACGAAGAACCCCGAUUGAGAAGGCAGCUUACUAAACUGUGACUGACAUUGAUGCUCGAAAGUGUGGGUAUCAAACAGGAUUAGAUACCCGAGUAGUC
Molecule: ribosomal RNA, 460 nt
Filed under: uncultured bacterium
Lineage: Bacteria
Description: partial 16S ribosomal RNA
Rfam family: Bacterial small subunit ribosomal RNA
Source: RNAcentral